RNAcentral lists this ribosomal RNA (253 nucleotides) under uncultured bacterium. Its description in RNAcentral is "partial 16S ribosomal RNA". It matches the Rfam family "Bacterial small subunit ribosomal RNA", at positions 524 to 776 of the family's 1533-position model. The record is from RNAcentral.
UACGGAGGGUGCAAACGUUGCUCGGAAUUACUGGGCGUAAAGCGCGCGCAGGCGGGCUUAUAAGUCGAUUGUGAAAUCCCAGGGCUUAACCUUGGAAUUGCAGUCGAAACUGUAAGUCUUGAGUGCCUAAGAGGAUGGCGGAAUUGCCGGUGUAGUAGUGAAAUACGUAGAUAUCGGGAGGAACACCAGUGGCGAAGGCGACUUCCUGGCCUGUUCUUGACGCUGAGGCGCGAAAGCUAGGGUAGCAAACGGG